This 354-nucleotide unclassified non-coding RNA is filed under the name soil metagenome. RNAcentral's name for it is "partial contains 5.8S ribosomal RNA, internal transcribed spacer 2, and large subunit ribosomal RNA". The stretch from base 1 to 120 matches the Rfam family "5.8S ribosomal RNA", at positions 35 to 154 of the family's 154-position model. The record is from RNAcentral.
GAUGAAGAACGUAGCGAAAUGCGAUACGUAAUGUGAAUUGCAGAAUUCAGUGAAUCAUCGAGUCUUUGAACGCACAUUGCGCCUCCUGGUAUUCCGGGAGGCAUGCCUGUUCGAGCGUCAUUAAAAUCACUCAAGCUUAGGUUUACCUAUUGCUUGGUCUUGGAGAUGGAAGCCAAUUUAUUGGAAUCCUCUUCGAAAUUCAAUGGCGAAGACCCUUGCUCUCCCAAGUGUAGUAAUAACUUAUGUCACUGAAGGAAGCGAGAAAUCUUCUGCCGUAACCCCCAUAUUUUCUAUGAUUGACCUCGGAUCAGGUAGGGAUACCCGCUGAACUUAAGCAUAUCAAUAAGCGGAGGA